This is a long non-coding RNA of Lycium ferocissimum, 294 nucleotides long. RefSeq lists it as uncharacterized. The transcript is spliced from 2 exons. Lineage: Eukaryota; Viridiplantae; Streptophyta; Magnoliopsida; Solanales; Solanaceae. The record is from RefSeq and is a predicted model, not a curated record.
UUUUGCUUAUCCUGAUCUUGCUUCUGGGAAACCCACGGACUUGAAAAGAAUUAAUGUAGAUACUGAAAAACUUGCUAGAGUUGCCAUCAAAUACAAUUUGCGUGACUAUUUACGUCACACGAUGCCUUUUUUUAAAGGACAAGUAGAAGAAUUCAGAGAUACUACAUUGGAGUACCCAUUGCAUUCACCAGGUCGCAUUGACCCCCCUAAAGUUCUUGCAGAUAUUGUUGAAUCUUUGAUUGGUGCCAUCUAUAUUGAUUCCAAUUUCUCCAUGGAUACAACUUGGCUGCUGGU